GACGAACGCUGGCGGCGUGCUUAACACAUGCAAGUCGAGCGGUAAGGCCCUUUCGGGGGUACACGAGCGGCGAACGGGUGAGUAACACGUGGGUGACCUGCCCUCAGCUCUGGGAUAAGCCUGGGAAGCCGGGUCUAAUACCGGAUAUGACUCCAUGACGCAUGUUGUGGGGUGGAAAGCCUUGUGCGGCUGAGGAUGGGCCCGCGGCCUAUCAGCUUGUUGGUGGGGUGANGGCCUACCAAGGCGACGACGGGUAGCCGGCCUGAGAGGGCGACCGGCCACACUGGGACUGAGACACGGCCCAGACUCCUACGGGAGGCAGCAGUGGGGGAAUCUUGCGCAAUGGGCGAAAGCCUGACGCAGCGACGCCGCGUGA
This 376-nucleotide ribosomal RNA is filed under the name uncultured bacterium. RNAcentral describes it as "bacterial SSU rRNA". It matches the Rfam family "Bacterial small subunit ribosomal RNA", at positions 28 to 404 of the family's 1533-position model. The record is from RNAcentral.